RNAcentral lists this ribosomal RNA (151 nucleotides) under uncultured delta proteobacterium. RNAcentral's name for it is "partial 16S ribosomal RNA". It matches the Rfam family "Bacterial small subunit ribosomal RNA", at positions 1229 to 1382 of the family's 1533-position model. The record is from RNAcentral. Lineage: Bacteria; Deltaproteobacteria.
AGUUGGCGAACAAGGUUGCAAUACCGCAAGGUGGGGCUAAUCUCAAAAAACCGCUCUCAGUUCAGAUUGGAGUCUGCAACUCGACUCCAUGAAGGCGGAAUCGCUAGUAAUCGCGGAUCAGCAUGCCGCGGUGAAUACGUUCCCGGGCCUU